Molecule: small RNA, 188 nt
Filed under: Xenorhabdus japonica
Lineage: Bacteria; Pseudomonadati; Pseudomonadota; Gammaproteobacteria; Enterobacterales; Morganellaceae
Description: SraG RNA
Rfam family: SraG RNA
About the family: This RNA was discovered in E. coli during a large scale screen.
Source: Rfam by way of RNAcentral
CUUCUUGCUACACCCUCACGACUAAUGACAGUGCUCAAUCCUUUAAGGACUCUCAUUAGCCGCGCGAGUCACUGUAGCGGAAGAGGUUUAAAUUUUAGAAACGGUAAAAAUAGGGUUUAAAUCUCUUAACUCCGGUUUCUAUCAAUUCCGUUUCCUAGAAGAAAAGGGGCCCGAUUAGGCCCCUUUUC